AGACACUUUUCCUCCUAGGAAAAACGAGCAUCUUCAAAAAUCAAUACCAUCCAGAUCUCAGAAGUUCUAAGGCCACAGGAAAGGAAAACUUCAAAGACAAGAAAAACAAGGUGCAGGAACCUCAGCAGAUACCCUGGGGGAGCCGGACUGACAUCUGGGUCUUCAGGAACUGAUGUGAUCCAGGAGCCUCUGCUGGAAGGGAUGGCAGGGGGCAGGAUGACGUGCGAACGUUUAUUC
Molecule: long non-coding RNA, 237 nt
Filed under: Homo sapiens (human)
Lineage: Eukaryota; Metazoa; Chordata; Mammalia; Primates; Hominidae
Description: HSALNT0174619
Source: RNAcentral